Molecule: ribosomal RNA, 253 nt
Filed under: uncultured bacterium
Lineage: Bacteria
Description: partial 16S ribosomal RNA
Rfam family: Bacterial small subunit ribosomal RNA
Source: RNAcentral
UACGUAGGGUGCGAGCGUCGUCCGGAAUUAUUGGGCGUAAAGAGCUCGUAGGCGGUUUGUUGCGUCGGCUGUGAAAACCUGCGGCUUAACUGUGGGCUUGCAGUCGAUACGGGCAGACUUGAGUUCGGCAGGGGAGACUGGAAUUCCUGGUGUAGCGGUGAAAUGCGCAGAUAUCAGGAGGAACACCGGUGGCGAAGGCGGGUCUCUGGGCCGAUACUGACGCUGAGGAGCGAAAGCGUGGGGAGCGAACAGG